UACGUAGGUCCCGAGCGUUGUCCGGAUUUAUUGGGCGUAAAGCGAGCGCAGGUGGUUUAUUAAGUCUGGUGUAAAAGGCAGUGGCUCAACCAUUGUAUGCAUUGGAAACUGGGGGUCUUGAGUGGGCGAGAAGAAGGCGGAAUGCGUGGUGUAGCGGUGAAAUGCAUAGAUAUCACGCAGAACCCCGAUUGCGAAGGCAGCCUUCCGGCGCCCUACUGACGCUGAGGCACGAAAGUGCGGGGAUCGAACAGG
This 252-nucleotide ribosomal RNA is filed under the name uncultured bacterium. RNAcentral's name for it is "partial 16S ribosomal RNA". It matches the Rfam family "Bacterial small subunit ribosomal RNA", at positions 524 to 776 of the family's 1533-position model. The record is from RNAcentral.